UCUCUGGUGGCUCAGAUGGUAAAGAAUUUGCCUUCAAUGCAGAAGACCCAGGUUCAAUCCCUGGGUUGGGAA
This 72-nucleotide transfer RNA is filed under the name Bos taurus (domestic cattle). It matches the Rfam family "tRNA". From Rfam's summary of the family: Transfer RNA (tRNA) molecules are approximately 80 nucleotides in length. Their secondary structure includes four short double-helical elements and three loops (D, anti-codon, and T loops). Further hydrogen bonds mediate the characteristic L-shaped molecular structure. tRNAs have two regions of fundamental functional importance: the anti-codon, which is responsible for specific mRNA codon recognition, and the 3' end, to which the tRNAs corresponding amino acid is attached (by aminoacyl-tRNA synthetases). tRNAs cope with the degeneracy of the genetic code in two manners: having more than one tRNA (with a specific anti-codon) for a particular amino acid; and 'wobble' base-pairing, i.e. permitting non-standard base-pairing at the 3rd anti-codon position. The record is from Rfam by way of RNAcentral. RNAcentral also lists the same sequence under 5 other names. Lineage: Eukaryota; Metazoa; Chordata; Mammalia; Artiodactyla; Bovidae.